Molecule: non-coding RNA, 215 nt
Organism: Pelobates cultripes (western spadefoot toad)
Lineage: Eukaryota; Metazoa; Chordata; Amphibia; Anura; Pelobatidae
Source: the annotation of a GenBank genome assembly
CAGCUGUAGGUCUCCACUCAAACAAAAAUUGCCAACUUUGUGUGUCUCUUUCUUUCUCUCCUAAAUCUCAAUCUCACUUUAGUGGGUUUCUUUGUCCCCCAGCCCCUCUGUGUGUCUCUUCCUUUCCAAGCCUCUUUUUAUAGAUCUCUUCUCCCCUCGGCUUUUCUUUCUGUUUCUUUGUCCCCCAACCCCACUGUGUCUCUUUGUCCCUCAAC